RNAcentral lists this ribosomal RNA (344 nucleotides) under uncultured bacterium. Its description in RNAcentral is "partial 16S ribosomal RNA". It matches the Rfam family "Bacterial small subunit ribosomal RNA", at positions 338 to 680 of the family's 1533-position model. The record is from RNAcentral.
CCUACGGGCGGCAGCAGUGGGGAAUAUUGCACAAUGGGGGAAACCCUGAUGCAGAGACGCCGCGUGAGUGAAGACGGUCCUAUGGAUUGUAAACCUCUUUUGUCGGGGAGCAAAAGACGCCACGCGUGGCGUUCCGAGAGUACCCGAAGAAAAAGCAUCGGCUAACUCCGUGCCAGCAGCCGCGGUAAGACGGAGGAGGCGAGCGCUAUCCGGAUGUAGUGGGUUUACCGGGGGCGCAGGCGGAAGAUCAAGUCAGCGGUAAACUUGAGAGGCUCAACCGCGUCGAGCCGUUGACACGUGUUUUCUUGCUUGCGCGAGACGUAUGCGGCAUGCGUUGUGUAGCG